UACGGAGGGUGCAAGCGUUAUCCGGAAUCACUGGGUUUAAAGGGUGCGUAGGCGGUUUUCUAAGUCAGUCGUGAAAUCUUGGCGCUUAACGUUAAAAUUGCGAUUGAUACUGGGAGACUUGAAUCAGGUUGAGGCAGGCGGAAUGUGGCAUGUAGCGGUGAAAUGCAUAGAUAUGCCAUAGAACACCGAUUGCGAAGGCAGCUUGCUGGGCUUAGAUUGACGCUGAGGCACGAAAGCGUGGGGAGCAAACAGG
RNAcentral lists this ribosomal RNA (253 nucleotides) under uncultured bacterium. RNAcentral describes it as "partial 16S ribosomal RNA". It matches the Rfam family "Bacterial small subunit ribosomal RNA", at positions 524 to 776 of the family's 1533-position model. The record is from RNAcentral.